RNAcentral lists this ribosomal RNA (398 nucleotides) under uncultured bacterium. RNAcentral's name for it is "partial 16S ribosomal RNA". It matches the Rfam family "Bacterial small subunit ribosomal RNA", at positions 523 to 918 of the family's 1533-position model. The record is from RNAcentral.
AUACGUAGGGUGCGAGCGUUGUCCGGAAUUACUGGGCGUAAAGAGCUCGUAGGUGGUUUGUCGCGUCGUCUGUGAAAUUCCGGGGCUUAACUCCGGGCGUGCAGGCGAUACGGGCAUAACUUGCGUACUGUAGGGGAGACUGGAAUUCCUGGUGUAGCGGUGAAAUGCGCAGAUAUCAGGAGGAACACCGGUGGCAAAGGCGGGUCUCUGGGCAGUAACUGACGCUGAGGAGCGAAAGCAUGGGUAGCGAACAGGAUUAGAUACCCUGGUAGUCCAUGCCGUAAACGGUGGGCGCUAGGUGUAGGGGUCUUCCACGACUUCUGUGCCGUAGCUAACGCAUUAAGCGCCCCGCCUGGGGAGUACGGCCGCAAGGCUAAAACUCAAAGGAAUUGACGGGG